This 26-nucleotide non-coding RNA is filed under the name Rattus norvegicus (Norway rat). The record is from RNAcentral. Lineage: Eukaryota; Metazoa; Chordata; Mammalia; Rodentia; Muridae.
UUAUACCCAAGUGCUAGUGUCAGACA